Molecule: ribosomal RNA, 487 nt
Filed under: uncultured bacterium
Lineage: Bacteria
Description: bacterial SSU rRNA
Rfam family: Bacterial small subunit ribosomal RNA
Source: RNAcentral
GAUGAACGCUAGCGGCAGGCUUAAUACAUGCAAGUUGAGGGGCAGCAUGAUAUACGCGAGUAUAUUGAUGGCGACCGGCGGACGGGUGAGUAAUAGGUAGGAGACCUACCUCAUACAGGGGGAUAGCAUAGAGAAAUCUGUGGUAAUACCCCAUGAGGUUAUAUGAAUAGAGGCAUAUAAUCAAAGCAUAAGCGAUUAUGCGGUAUGAGAGGGGCCUACUGACCAUUAGCUAGUUGGUGAGGUAAGGGCUCACCAAGGCGAAGAUGGUUAGGGGUUUUGAGAGAGAGACCCCCCACAUUGGAACUGAGAGACGGUCCAGACUCCUACGGGAGGCAGCAGUGGGGAAUUUUGGACAAUGGGCGCAAGCCUGAUCCAGCCAUGCCGCGUGCGGGACGAAGGCCUUCGGUUGUAAACCGCUUUCAGCCGGAAGAAAUACGCUGACUUUAAUAGAGGCAGUGGAUGACGGUACCGGAAGAAGAAGCACCGG